UAGGGAAUCUUCCGCAAUGGGCGAAAGCUUGACGGAGCAACGCCGCGUGAGUGAUGAAGGUCUUCGGAUCGUAAAACUCUGUUAUUAGGGAAGAACAAAUGUGUAAGUAACUAUGCACGUCUUGACGGUACCUAAUCAGAAAGCCACGGCUAACUACGUGCCAGCAGCCGCGGUAAUACGUAGGUGGCAAGCGUUAUCCGGAAUUAUUGGGCGUAAAGCGCGCGUAGGCGGUUUUUUAAGUCUGAUGUGAAAGCCCACGGCGCAACCGUGGAGGGUCAUUGGAAACUGGAAAACUUGAGUGCAGAAGAGGAAAGUGGAAUUCCAUGUGUAGCGGUGAAAUGCGCAGGGAUAUGGAGGAACACCAGUGGCGAAGGCGACUUUCUGGUCUGUAACUGACGCUGAUGUGCGAAAGCGUGGGGAUCAAACAGG
This 429-nucleotide ribosomal RNA is filed under the name Actinomycetes bacterium. RNAcentral's name for it is "Actinobacteria bacterium partial 16S ribosomal RNA". It matches the Rfam family "Bacterial small subunit ribosomal RNA", at positions 355 to 776 of the family's 1533-position model. Lineage: Bacteria; Bacillati; Actinomycetota; Actinomycetes. The record is from RNAcentral.